CAGUGUCCUCCAGCAAUGGUUCCCGUCCAGAAGAAGCUGGUAAUUGUCGGUGACAGAGUCUGUGGCAAGACAUGCUUGCUCAUUGUCUUCAGCAAGGACCAGUUCCCAGAGGGGUGAGCACCCUCAGGGUUUCAGAACUAUGUGGCCCAUAUCGAGGUGGAUGGGAAAGUGUAGAGCUGACUUUGUGGGACACAGCCAGGCAGGAAGAUUAGGAUCGCCUGAGGCCCCUCUUUUACUCGGACACUGAUGUUAUGUGUUCUCCGUUGACAACCCUGAGAGUUUAGAAAACAUCCCAGAGAAAUGGAGCCCAGAAGUCAAGCAUUUCUGUCCCAACGUGCCCACCAGCCUGGUUGGGAACAAGAAGGAUCUUCGGAAUGAUGUGCACACAAGGUGGGAGCUAGCCAGGAUGAAGCAGAAGAGGGUGAGACUCGAAGAGGGCAGAGAUAUGGUCAAGGGAAUUGGCUCUUUGGGGUACAUGAAGUGUUCAGCAAAGACCAAAGAUGGAGUGAGAGAGGUUUUUGAAGUGGCUGCGAAAGCUACUCUGCAAGCCAGAUGUGGGAAGAAAAACUCUGGGUGCCUUGUCUUG
This 586-nucleotide long non-coding RNA is filed under the name Homo sapiens (human). RNAcentral describes it as "non-protein coding lnc-MAP3K7-6:1". Lineage: Eukaryota; Metazoa; Chordata; Mammalia; Primates; Hominidae. The record is from RNAcentral.